AGAGUUUGAUCAUGGCUCAGAUUGAACGCUGGCGGCAUGCCUUACACAUGCAAGUCGAACGGCAGCACGGGAGCAAUCCUGGUGGCGAGUGGCGAACGGGUGAGUAAUACAUCGGAACGUGUCCUGUAGUGGGGGAUAGCCCGGCGAAAGCCGGAUUAAUACCGCAUACGCUCUACGGAGGAAAGGGGGGGAUCGCAAGACCUCUCGUUAUAGGGGCGGCCGAUGGCAGAUUAGCUAGUUGGUGGGGUAAAGGCCUACCAAGGCGACGAUCUGUAGCUGGUCUGAGAGGACGACCAGCCACACUGGGACUGAGACACGGCCCAGACUCCUACGGGAGGCAGCAGUGGGGAAUUUUGGACAAUGGGCGCAAGCCUGAUCCAGCAAUGCCGCGUGUGUGAAGAAGGCCUUCGGGUUGUAAAGCACUUUUGUCCGGAAAGAAAUCCUUUGGGCUAAUACCCUGAGGGGAUGACGGUACCGGAAGAAUAAGCACCGGCUAACUACGUGCCAGCAGCCGCGGUAAUACGUAGGGUGCAAGCGUUAAUCGGAAUUACUGGGCGUAAAGCGUGCGCAGGCGGUCCGCUAAGACAGAUGUGAAAUCCCCGGGCUUAACCUGGGAACUGCAUUUGUGACUGGCGGGCUAGAGUAUGGCAGAGGGGGGUAGAAUUCCACGUAGCAGUGAAAUGCGUAGAGAUGUGGAGGAAUACCGAUGGCGAAGGCAGCCCCCUGGGCCAAUACUGACGCUCAUGCACGAAAGCGUGGGGAGCAAACAGGAUUAGAUACCCCAGUAGUCC
Molecule: ribosomal RNA, 791 nt
Filed under: uncultured bacterium
Lineage: Bacteria
Description: bacterial SSU rRNA
Rfam family: Bacterial small subunit ribosomal RNA
Source: RNAcentral